GCGAACGCUGGCGGCAGGCCUAACACAUGCAAGUCGAACGGACCCUUCGGGGUUAGUGGCGGACGGGUGAGUAACACGUGGGAACGUGCCUUUAGGUUCGGAAUAGCUCCUGGAAACGGGUGGUAAUGCCGAAUGUGCCCUUCGGGGGAAAGAUUUAUCGCCUUUAGAGCGGCCCGCGUCUGAUUAGCUUGUUGGUGGGGUAAUGGCCCACCAAGGCUACGAUCAGUAGCUGGUCUGAGAGGAUGACCAGCCACAUUGGGACUGAGACACGGCCCAAACUCCUACGGGAGGCAGCAGUGGGGAAUCUUGCGCAAUGGGCGAAAGCCUGACGCAGCCAUGCCGCGUGUAUGAUGAAGGUCUUAGGAUUGUAAAAUACUUUCACCGGUGAAGAUAAUGACUGUAGCCGGAGAAGAAGCCCCGGCUAACUUCGUGCCAGCAGCCGCGGUAAU
This 449-nucleotide ribosomal RNA is filed under the name uncultured bacterium. Its description in RNAcentral is "bacterial SSU rRNA". It matches the Rfam family "Bacterial small subunit ribosomal RNA", at positions 29 to 524 of the family's 1533-position model. The record is from RNAcentral.